GAGGAUAUAGCUCAGUGGUAAAGCAUGUGCUUGGCAUGCAUGAGGUCCUGGGUUUGACCCCUAGUGCCUCCC
Molecule: transfer RNA, 72 nt
Filed under: Camelus bactrianus (Bactrian camel)
Lineage: Eukaryota; Metazoa; Chordata; Mammalia; Artiodactyla; Camelidae
Also listed under: 2 other names
Rfam family: tRNA
About the family: Transfer RNA (tRNA) molecules are approximately 80 nucleotides in length. Their secondary structure includes four short double-helical elements and three loops (D, anti-codon, and T loops). Further hydrogen bonds mediate the characteristic L-shaped molecular structure. tRNAs have two regions of fundamental functional importance: the anti-codon, which is responsible for specific mRNA codon recognition, and the 3' end, to which the tRNAs corresponding amino acid is attached (by aminoacyl-tRNA synthetases). tRNAs cope with the degeneracy of the genetic code in two manners: having more than one tRNA (with a specific anti-codon) for a particular amino acid; and 'wobble' base-pairing, i.e. permitting non-standard base-pairing at the 3rd anti-codon position.
Source: Rfam by way of RNAcentral